Molecule: unclassified non-coding RNA, 220 nt
Filed under: Hevea brasiliensis (rubber tree)
Lineage: Eukaryota; Viridiplantae; Streptophyta; Magnoliopsida; Malpighiales; Euphorbiaceae
Source: RNAcentral
AGAAUCCUGACGUUUGAGGUAAUGGGUAUCUGGAUUUGGCUGCAGCACCAUAAGCAUCUAUGAUCGUUCGCCUGUACUGAUCAACUAAGCUUCCGGUUUCAGCGUGAAAAAGAGGCAAGACAUUUUUCACUUGGAUUGCAGCCUUCUCAACCACUUCUUUCGGCAAUCCAUCACCAUCGGCCAAGUAUAGGUCUUUUAGGGAUUUGAAAUCCUCUUCCAG